AUCGCGAGACUAGUUUCAGCGCAUCUCCAGACUCGGCGCCGGCGGCACCUCACAUCUCAACUCGUCUCCAUUCUCCCAAGUCUUCCCCAUCCGGAAUCUGUACUGGACGCAAGGAAUGGCGUGUAGGUCGAACAAUUUGAUCCUAUGUUGCUCAAUCUGGGACUGGGUAUGGAAGUAACGCCGUCCAUGAUUCCGAGGAGAACCUACCAUGAUUCUGACGAACACAGGGACUACAUAAGGAGUUGGGACAACUUCUUCAGAUCCCUGAUCUGGUUACUUCAUAAACGUCGAUUUUCUCAUCCUCUAAAAAAAUUGUUUCUUGAUGCUGAUUUUUUAUGCAUUUGUAUAUAUACUCGCCGUAUCCCCGUAA
Triticum dicoccoides is the source of this 370-nucleotide long non-coding RNA. RefSeq lists it as uncharacterized. The transcript has 2 exons. NCBI's taxonomy places the organism in Eukaryota, Viridiplantae, Streptophyta, Magnoliopsida, Poales, Poaceae. The record is from RefSeq and is a predicted model, not a curated record.